This 360-nucleotide ribosomal RNA is filed under the name uncultured Anaerolineaceae bacterium. Its description in RNAcentral is "bacterial SSU rRNA". It matches the Rfam family "Bacterial small subunit ribosomal RNA", at positions 1008 to 1382 of the family's 1533-position model. The record is from RNAcentral. Lineage: Bacteria; Bacillati; Chloroflexota; Anaerolineae; Anaerolineales; Anaerolineaceae.
UGGACCGACCCUUCGGGGAGCUUGUACAGGUGCUGCAUGGCUGUCGUCAGCUCGUGUCGUGAGAUGUUCGUUAAGUCCGCUAACGAGCGCAACCCUCGCUGUGUGUUACAAGUGUCACACGGAACUGCCGGUCAUAAACCGGAGGAAGGUGGGGAUGACGUCAAGUCAGCAUGGCCUUUAUAUCCUGGGCUACACACACGCUACAAUGGGAAGGGACAAUAGGUUGCGAAGCCGCGAGGCGGAGCCAAUCCAGCAAAACUUCCCUCAGUUCAGAUUGCAGGCUGCAACCCGCCUGCAUGAAGUUGGAGUUGCUAGUAAACGCAGGUCAGCCAUACUGCGUUGAAUACGUUCCCGGGGCUU